UACGAGGGGGGCGAGCGUUGUUCGGAAUUACUGGGCGUAAAGGGCGCGCAGGCGGCGGACCAAGUCAGGCGUGAAAGCCCCGGGCUCAACCUGGGAAUGGCGCAUGGGACUGGUCUGCUAGAGUUCGGGAGAGGAGCGUGGAAUUCCCAGUGUAGCGGUGAAAUGCGUAGAUAUCGGGAGGAACACCUGUGGCGAAAGCGGCGCACUGGACCAUAACUGACGCUGAGGUGCGAAAGCUAGGGGAGCAAACAGG
This 253-nucleotide ribosomal RNA is filed under the name uncultured prokaryote. RNAcentral describes it as "partial 16S ribosomal RNA". It matches the Rfam family "Bacterial small subunit ribosomal RNA", at positions 524 to 776 of the family's 1533-position model. The record is from RNAcentral.